UGGGGAAUAUUGGACAAUGGGCGAAAGCCUGAUCCAGCCAUGCCGCGUGUGUGAAGAAGGUCUUCGGAUUGUAAAGCACUUUAAGUUGGGAGGAAGGGCAGUAAGCGAAUACCUUGCUGUUUUGACGUUACCGACAGAAUAAGCACUGGCUAACUCUGUGCCAGCAGCCGCGGUAAUACAGAGGGUGCAAGCGUUAAUCGGAAUUACUGGGCGUAAAGCGCGCGUAGGUGGUUCGUUAAGUUGAAUGUGAAAGCCCCGGGCUCAACCUGGGAACUGCAUCCAAAACUGGCGAGCUAGAGUAGGGCAGAGGGUGGUGGAAUUUCCUGUGUAGCGGUGAAAUGCGUAGAUAUAGGAAGGAACACCAGUGGCGAAGGCGACCACCUGGGCUCAUACUGACACUGAGGUGCGAAAGCGUGAGGAGCAAACAGG
Molecule: ribosomal RNA, 429 nt
Filed under: Pseudomonadota bacterium
Lineage: Bacteria; Pseudomonadati; Pseudomonadota
Description: Proteobacteria bacterium partial 16S ribosomal RNA
Rfam family: Bacterial small subunit ribosomal RNA
Source: RNAcentral